This 88-nucleotide ribosomal RNA is filed under the name Vibrio owensii. RNAcentral's name for it is "partial 16S ribosomal RNA". It matches the Rfam family "Bacterial small subunit ribosomal RNA", at positions 1446 to 1533 of the family's 1533-position model. Lineage: Bacteria; Pseudomonadati; Pseudomonadota; Gammaproteobacteria; Vibrionales; Vibrionaceae. The record is from RNAcentral. RNAcentral also lists the same sequence under 1 other name.
GAGGACGCUUACCACUUUGUGGUUCAUGACUGGGGUGAAGUCGUAACAAGGUAGCGCUAGGGGAACCUGGCGCUGGAUCACCUCCUUA